GAUGAACGCUGGCGGCGUGCUUAACACAUGCAAGUCGAACGAGAAGUGAAGACGGAAACCUUCGGGCGGAAGGCUUUAUUUCGAGUGGCGGACGGGUGAGUAACGCGUGGGUAACCUGCCUCAUACAGGGGGAUAACAGUUGGAAACGACUGUUAAUACCGCAUAAGACCACAGCACCGCAUGGUGCGGGGGUAAAAACUCCGGUGGUAUGAGAUGGACCCGCGUUCGAUUAGCCAGUUGGCGGGGUAACGGCCCACCAAAGCGACGAUCGAUAGCCGAUCUGAGAGGAUGACCGGCCACAUUGGGACUGAGACACGGCCCAAACUCCUACGGGAGGCAGCAGUGGGGAAUAUUGCACAAUGGGGGAAACCCUGAUGCAGCGACGCCGCGUGAGUGAAGAAGUAUUUCGGUAUGUAAAGCUCUAUCAGCAGGGAAGAAAAUGACGGUACCUGAGGAAGAAGCCCCGGCUAACUACGU
Molecule: ribosomal RNA, 477 nt
Filed under: uncultured bacterium
Lineage: Bacteria
Description: partial 16S ribosomal RNA
Rfam family: Bacterial small subunit ribosomal RNA
Source: RNAcentral